GUGGGGAAUCUUGCGCAAUGGGCGAAAGCCUGACGCAGCAACGCCGCGUGGGGGAAGAAGGCCUUCGGGUUGUAAACCCCUUUCAGUUGGGACGAAGCUUCCAGGGUUAAUAGCCCUGUGGAGUGACGGUACCUUCAGAAGAAGCCCCGGCUAACUACGUGCCAGCAGCCGCGGUAAUACGUAGGGGGCAAGCGUUGUCCGGAAUCAUUGGGCGUAAAGCGCGUGUAGGCGGUUCGGUAAGUCCGCUGUGAAAGUCGGGGGCUCAACCCUCGGAUGCCGGUGGAUACUGUCGGGCUUGAGUACGGAAGAGGCGAGUGGAAUUCCUGGUGUAGCGGUGAAAUGCGCAGAUAUCAGGAGGAACACCAAUUGCGAAGGCAGCUCGCUGGGACGUUACUGACGCUGAGACGCGAAAGCGUGGGGAGCAAACAGGAUUAGAUACCCUGGUAGUCCACGCUGUAAACGAUGGGCACUAGGUGUGGGGGGUGUCGACUCCCUCCGUGCCGAGGCUAACGCAUUAAGUGCCCCGCCUGGGGAGUACGGCCGCAAGGC
Molecule: ribosomal RNA, 549 nt
Filed under: uncultured Solirubrobacter sp.
Lineage: Bacteria; Bacillati; Actinomycetota; Thermoleophilia; Solirubrobacterales; Solirubrobacteraceae
Description: bacterial SSU rRNA
Rfam family: Bacterial small subunit ribosomal RNA
Source: RNAcentral